UGGGGAAUCUUGCGCAAUGGGCGAAAGCCUGACGCAGCAACGCCGCGUGUGUGAUGAAGGUCUUCGGAUCGUAAAGCACUGUCGCGAGGGAAGAGAUGCCCUUGGAUAACACCCGGGGGCUAGGACGGUACCUCGAGAGGAAGCACCGGCUAACUCUGUGCCAGCAGCCGCGGUAAUACAGAGGGUGCGAGCGUUGUUCGGAAUCAUUGGGCGUAAAGCGCUUGUAGGCGGCUUGUUAAGUCGCGUGUGAAAUCCCUUGGCUCAACCAAGGAAGUGCGCGCGAAACUGGCGAGCUCGAGUGCCGGAGAGGGUCGCGGAAUUCCCGGUGUAGAGGUGAAAUUCGUAGAUAUCGGGAGGAACACCAGUGGCGAAGGCGGCGACCUGGACGGACACUGACGCUGAGACGCGAAAGCGUGGGGAGCAAACAGGAUUAGAUACCCUGGUAGUCCACGCUGUAAACGAUGGAUGCUAGCUGUGGCGGGUUUUGACCCCUGCCGUGGCGCAGCUAACGCAAUAAGCAUCCCGCCUGGGAAGUACGGCCGCAAGGCUAA
Molecule: ribosomal RNA, 551 nt
Filed under: uncultured Anaeromyxobacter sp.
Lineage: Bacteria; Pseudomonadati; Myxococcota; Myxococcia; Myxococcales; Anaeromyxobacteraceae
Description: bacterial SSU rRNA
Rfam family: Bacterial small subunit ribosomal RNA
Source: RNAcentral